CCUUAUGUCAUGUAGUCAGGUAGUUGUUGAUACCAAGUGCUCCUUGUGUAUGUCUUGUGUAAUCUUGUGUCAAAAGGGGACAAAGAGGCCAUUAUGUCAUGUCCUUGUGUAUGCCUUGUCUGCAGAUGCUGGAUUUGAGGGAAACUGGUGUAAAAGAGCUACCAUCCAGUAUUGUUAAGCUUACAAAAUUGAGGUGUCUGCUUAUUAACAGAUCCAAAGAAGUGCCAGAUAAGAUUAUUGGGAAACUACAUGCUCUAGAGGCUGGUUAGUUGAAUUUGUUUUUGAUAAGAAUAAACUUAAAGGACAAGAAACUUCACUGGAACUAAAACUGAAUUUGUGAUACACACAACAAACAUAACUUUUCUGCAAUUCUCUAUGUAAUUCGAAAAGAGGCUAAUUUGUUAGAGCAGAGUAAACCUUGGAGAGGCCCUUGAGAUUGGUCUUGCCAUGUGCAUCCUCCAGCACCAGGGCCUCCUGCUCCUUGGGCUACAGCAGAUCGAAGAAGCAACACCAGCACUUCCAUCCCACUUAUCUGAAGAAGCAACACCAACACUUACAGGACAAAGAACAGAGACAGAACCAUGAUGUUCAGCAAGCAAGCACGCACGCACCUCUCCUGCAUCCAUCCCAAUGCACUGGGUGUCAAUGGCCGC
Molecule: long non-coding RNA, 653 nt
Filed under: Triticum aestivum (bread wheat)
Lineage: Eukaryota; Viridiplantae; Streptophyta; Magnoliopsida; Poales; Poaceae
Description: long non-coding RNA (TAES_LNC001734)
Source: RNAcentral